GCUGGGCGCAAUGGCUCACGCCUGUAAUCCCAGCAUUUGGGAGGCCGAGGCAGGAGGAUCACUUGAGCCCAGGAGUUUGAGGCCAGCCUGGGCAAGAUAGUGAGAUCCCGUUUCUA
This 116-nucleotide non-coding RNA is filed under the name Homo sapiens (human). The record is from Rfam by way of RNAcentral. Lineage: Eukaryota; Metazoa; Chordata; Mammalia; Primates; Hominidae.